UGAGUGGCGAACGGGUGAGUAACACGUGGGCAACCUGCCCAAAAGAGGGGGAUAACACUUGGAAACAGGUGCUAAUACCGCAUAACCAUAGUUACCGCAUGGUAACUAUGUAAAAGGUGGCUAUACUACCGCUUUUGGAUGGGCCCGCGGCGCAUUAGCUAGUUGGUAGGGUAAAGGCUUACCAAGGCAAUGAUGCGUAGCCGAAUUGAGAGGUUGAUCGGCCACAUUGGGACUGAGACACGGCCCAAACUCCUACGGGAGGCAGCAGUAGGGAAUCUUCCACAAUGGGCGAAAGCCUGAUGGAGCAACGCCGCGUGGGUGAAGAAGGUCUUCGGAUCGUAAAACCCUGUUGUUAGAGAAGAAAGUGCGUGAGAGUAACUGUUCACGUUUCGACGGUAUCUAACCAGAAAGCCACGGCUAACUACGUGCCAGCAGCCGCGGUAAUACGUAGGUGGCAAGCGUUAUCCGGAUUUAUUGGGCGUAAAGGGAACGCAGGCGGUCCUUUAAGUCUGAUGUGAAAGCCUUCGGCUUAACCGGAGUAGUGCAUUGGAAACUGGGAGACUUGAGUGCAGAAGAGGAGAGUGGAACUCCAUGUGUAGCGGUGAAAUGCGUAGAUAUAUGGAAGAACACCAGUGGCGAAAGCGGCUCUCUGGUCUGUAACUGACGCUGAGGUUCGAAAGCGUGGGUAGCAAACAGGAUUAGAUACCCUGGUAGUCCACGCCGCAAACGAUGAAUGCUAAGUGUUGGAGGGUUUCCGCCCUUCAGUGCUGCAGCUA
RNAcentral lists this ribosomal RNA (776 nucleotides) under uncultured bacterium. Its description in RNAcentral is "bacterial SSU rRNA". It matches the Rfam family "Bacterial small subunit ribosomal RNA", at positions 92 to 854 of the family's 1533-position model. The record is from RNAcentral.